CGGGCCAAGCACAAUACUAUAACUCUGAACAUAUAACAUAAUAUCAUUAAGCAAUACAUCUCUUUUUACAUCAAUACAUAACCUUACAUUACAUCAUGUCCACUACUAUUCUAUUACAUAAACAUGACCAUGGACGUAACCUGCUGAUCUCCUGACUAUCUCUGACCCUGCAAACCUGGGGUUAGGGGAGAGGGGUGAGCUAAAAAGCCCAGUGAGCAGAAACCAUAAAAGAAAA
This 235-nucleotide long non-coding RNA is filed under the name Manihot esculenta (cassava). RNAcentral's name for it is "long non-coding RNA (MESC_LNC004269)". The record is from RNAcentral. Lineage: Eukaryota; Viridiplantae; Streptophyta; Magnoliopsida; Malpighiales; Euphorbiaceae.